AGAGUUUGAUCAUGGCUCAGGAUGAACGCUGGCGGCGUGCCUAACACAUGCAAGUCGAGCGAACCCUUCGGGGUGAGCGGCGGACGGGUGAGUAACGCGUGGGUAACCUGCCCUGUACACACGGAUAACAUACCGAAAGGUAUGCUAAUACGAGAUAAUAUAUUUUAAUCGCAUGGUUAAGAUAUCAAAGCUCCGGCGGUACAGGAUGGACCCGCGUCUGAUUAGCUAGUUGGUGAGGUAAUGGCUCACCAAGGCGACGAUCAGUAGCCGACCUGAGAGGGUGAUCGGCCACACUGGAACUGAGACACGGUCCAGACUCCUACGGGAGGCAGCAGUGGGGAAUAUUGCACAAUGGGCGAAAGCCUGAUGCAGCAACGCCGCGUGAGCGAUGAAGGCCUUCGGGUCGUAAAGCUCUGUCCUCAAGGAAGAUAAUGACGGUACUUGAGGAGGAAGCCCCGGCUAACUACGUGCCAGCAGCCGCGGUAAUACGUAGGGGGCUAGCGUUAUCCGGAAUUACUGGGCGUAAAGGGUGCGUAGGCGGUCUUUCAAGCCAGAAGUGAAAGGCUACGGCUCAACCGUAGUAAGCUUUUGGAACUGUAAGACUUGAGUGCAGGAGAGGAGAGUGGAAUUCCUAGUGUAGCGGUGAAAUGCGUAGAUAUUAGGAGGAACACCAGUAGCGAAGGCGGCUCUCUGGACUGUAACUGACGCUGAGGCACGAAAGCGUGGGGAGCAAACAGGAUUAGAUACCCUGGUAGUCCACGCCGUAAACGAUGAGUACUAGGUGUCGGGGGUUACCCCCCUCGGUGCCGCAGCUAACGCAUUAAGUACUCCGCCUGGGAAGUACGCUCGCAAGAGUGAAACUCAAAUGAAUUGACGG
Molecule: ribosomal RNA, 877 nt
Filed under: uncultured bacterium
Lineage: Bacteria
Description: bacterial SSU rRNA
Rfam family: Bacterial small subunit ribosomal RNA
Source: RNAcentral